UGAAAUACUGAGUGAGACGGUCUACCAGCAACAUGAGGGAUAGAGGGGAUGAAAAUUCUCUACCAUACAACAUUAGUUGGAUGGUGGAAAAUUAUAAUGUCUUCUAGACUGCAUGAUUACCGAUAGCUAUUCCUCAUCCGAUCCCGCCAUCCUUUGUGAUGACGCCGACAACGGUGCCUUCCACAGCACCGACGAGCUCAUCGUCCUCGAUGGAGAUGAUGACCAGCAGCACCGCUGCUUUGCGAAAGAGGAGGAUGAGGAUGACCGGCCUCCUCGAAGUCUUCUCUUUAUUUUAUCUGGUUUACAGCUGAGCUGGCAGAUUCGAUCCACCUAACAAUUUCGCGUACUAAAACUCCGUGGCUUUGGUUUGGCCUUCAUCGUCUCCACAACUGGAGAACCUCGCUGCUCAUGGGCGUUGGCUAGACAUUGGACACCAGCAUCUAGCACUAAACAAGGCUGGACGCCAUGGAGAAGUAGGUCACCUUCAUACCUAAUCCAUCCAGAUGAGACCUCUUUUCUUUACCUUCUGCCUGCACCACCACGCCAUGGAGAAACUGAUUUUGUUUUUCGUGAUUUAUAGAGAGAGUCCUCAAUUGGUUCAUAUGUCUGGCACAUCUAAAAGCAUCUAAAAUUACAGUGAUCCAUACAUCAUGAGCAGUGCACUAAUGUACAGGAAGAGCAUCAGCUUGUUUGGAAGAUGCAUGGUAAAGACACUUCCUCCUCUGUAUCUCAUCAAUUUUCGAAUACAACGGGGAGUUAAAUGCCUCUCUUUGGAACCUCCCUGUGUCUCUCAAGAUCAAAUGUUUCAUGUGGCUAUGCUGGAAGAAGAAACUGAAAACCAGAGAUCGACUUGCUUGCUAGGAAAACUUGGAAAGAAUGUGGGUGGAUCGAUGUGUUUUGUGCCGCCAGGCACUCGAGACGGUUGAUGAUCGCCUCUUCUCGAACUGUGAUUUCUUCUCCACUAUCUGAAAGGCUGCUUUCUCCUCCGUAGGGGUUCUGCAUGCAUCUAUUAUUAUCCUUCUUCGAAUUUCUCUGGAUCUUGACUGGAGAAGAAGGAGUUUUCCAAAAUCAGCUU
RNAcentral lists this long non-coding RNA (1075 nucleotides) under Phoenix dactylifera (date palm). Its description in RNAcentral is "long non-coding RNA (PDAC_LNC001619)". Lineage: Eukaryota; Viridiplantae; Streptophyta; Magnoliopsida; Arecales; Arecaceae. The record is from RNAcentral.